RNAcentral lists this ribosomal RNA (800 nucleotides) under uncultured bacterium. Its description in RNAcentral is "bacterial SSU rRNA". It matches the Rfam family "Bacterial small subunit ribosomal RNA", at positions 8 to 801 of the family's 1533-position model. The record is from RNAcentral.
AGAGUUUGAUCCUGGCUCAGAUUGAACGCUGGCGGAAUGCUUUACACAUGCAAGUCGAACGGCAGCACGGGAGCUUGCUCCUGGUGGCGAGUGGCGAACGGGUGAGUAAUGCGCCGGAACGUACCGAGUAAUGGGGGAUAACGCGGCGAAAGUCGCGCUAAUACCGCAUACGCCCUGAGGGGGAAAGCGGGGGAUCGCAAGACCUCGCGUUAUUCGAGCGGCCGACGUCUGAUUAGCUAGUUGGUGGGGUAAAGGCUCACCAAGGCGACGAUCAGUAGCGGGUCUGAGAGGAUGAUCCGCCACACUGGGACUGAGACACGGCCCAGACUCCUACGGGAGGCAGCAGUGGGGAAUUUUGGACAAUGGGGGCAACCCUGAUCCAGCCAUUCCGCGUGAGUGAAGAAGGCCUUCGGGUUGUAAAGCUCUUUCAGCUGGAGCGAAACGGUACGCUCUAACAUAGCGUGCUACUGACGGUACCAGCAGAAGAAGCACCGGCUAACUACGUGCCAGCAGCCGCGGUAAUACGUAGGGUGCGAGCGUUAAUCGGAAUUACUGGGCGUAAAGCGUGCGCAGGCGGAUUGUUAAGCAAGACGUGAAAUCCCCGGGCUUAACCUGGGAAUGGCGUUUUGAACUGGCAGUCUAGAGUGCGUCAGAGGGGGGUGGAAUUCCACGUGUAGCAGUGAAAUGCGUAGAGAUGUGGAGGAACACCGAUGGCGAAGGCAGCCCCCUGGGAUGACACUGACGCUCAUGUACGAAAGCGUGGGUAGCAAACAGGAUUAGAUACCCUGGUAGUCCACGCC